UCCUUUAUGGCAGAAAAUUGCAAUAGAUUUAGAUUUUAUUAAUAUCCUU
Molecule: transfer RNA, 49 nt
Filed under: Hapalopus sp. HAPX23FPM
Lineage: Eukaryota; Metazoa; Arthropoda; Arachnida; Araneae; Theraphosidae
Description: tRNA-Leu
Source: RNAcentral